GACAGAGGAUGCAAGCGUUAUCCGGAAUGAUUGGGCGUAAAGCGUCUGUAGGUGGCUUUUUAAGUCCGCCGUCAAAUCCCAGGGCUCAACCCUGGACAGGCGGUGGAAACUACCAAGCUGGAGUACGGUAGGGGCAGAGGGAAUUCCCGGUGUAGCGGUGAAAUGCGUAGAGAUCGGGAAGAACACCGGUGGCGAAAGCGCUCUACUGGACCGUAACUGACACUCAGGGACGAAAGCUAGGGGAGCGAAUGGG
This 253-nucleotide ribosomal RNA is filed under the name uncultured bacterium. RNAcentral describes it as "partial 16S ribosomal RNA". It matches the Rfam family "Bacterial small subunit ribosomal RNA", at positions 524 to 776 of the family's 1533-position model. The record is from RNAcentral.